GCCUACGGGAGGCAGCAGUGGGGAAUAUUGGACAAUGGGCGAAAGCCUGAUCCAGCCAUGCCGCGCGUGUGAAGAAGGCCUUUUGGUUGUAAAGCACCUUAAGCGAGGAGGAGGCUACUUGGAUUAAUACUCUAGGAUAGUUGACGUUACUCGCAGAAUAAGCACCGGCUAACUCUGUGCCAGCAGCCGCGGUAAUA
This 197-nucleotide ribosomal RNA is filed under the name uncultured bacterium. RNAcentral's name for it is "partial 16S ribosomal RNA". It matches the Rfam family "Bacterial small subunit ribosomal RNA", at positions 337 to 525 of the family's 1533-position model. The record is from RNAcentral.